UACGGGGGGGGCAAGCGUUGUUCGGAAUUACUGGGCGUAAAGGGCUCGUAGGCGGCCAACUAAGUCAGACGUGAAAUCCCUCGGCUUAACCGGGGAACUGCAUCUGAUACUGGAUGUCUUGAGGUUGGGAGAGGGAUGCGGAAUUCCUGGUGUAGCGGUGAAAUGCGCAGAUAUCAGGAGGAACACCGGUGGCGAAGGCGGGUCUCUGGGCCGAUACUGACGCUGAGGAGCGAAAGCGUGGGGAGCGAACAGG
RNAcentral lists this ribosomal RNA (253 nucleotides) under uncultured bacterium. RNAcentral's name for it is "partial 16S ribosomal RNA". It matches the Rfam family "Bacterial small subunit ribosomal RNA", at positions 524 to 776 of the family's 1533-position model. The record is from RNAcentral.